GAGUUUGAUCGUGGCUCAGGAUGAACGCUAGCGGCAGGCUUAAUACAUGCAAGUCGUGGGGCAGCAGGUGUAGCAAUACAUGCUGGCGACCGGCAAACGGGUGCGGAACACGUACGCAACCUUCCUUUAACUGGAGAAUAGCCCCUCGAAAGAGGGAUUAAUACUCCGUAACAUAUUGAUAAGGCAUCUUAUUAAUAUUAUAGCUCCGGCGGUUAAAGAUGGGCGUGCGCCUGAUUAGGUAGUUGGCGGGGUAACGGCCCACCAAGCCUUCGAUCAGUAACUGGUGUGAGAGCACGACCAGUCACACGGGCACUGAGACACGGGCCCGACUCCUACGGGAGGCAGCAGUAAGGAAUAUUGGUCAAUGGACGCAAGGUCUGAACCAGCCAUGCGCGUGGAGGAUUAAGGCCCUCUGGGUUGUAAACUCCUUUUAUCUGGGAAGAAAUGCUUUGAUUCUUCAAAGCUUGACGGUA
This 473-nucleotide ribosomal RNA is filed under the name uncultured bacterium. RNAcentral describes it as "bacterial SSU rRNA". It matches the Rfam family "Bacterial small subunit ribosomal RNA", at positions 9 to 477 of the family's 1533-position model. The record is from RNAcentral.